Triticum dicoccoides is the source of this 785-nucleotide long non-coding RNA. RefSeq lists it as uncharacterized. Lineage: Eukaryota; Viridiplantae; Streptophyta; Magnoliopsida; Poales; Poaceae. The record is from RefSeq and is a predicted model, not a curated record. The transcript is spliced from 3 exons.
GUUGGCUCUGGGCGCGGACGUCCAGCAGGCCACGUCGGUCGGUUGCUGGUGGCGGUACAGCGGGUCACCGUGGAUACAAUAGCAGCAGUACUUCUCAUGAUAGUUCACCAAAUCACGAGUUGCGGCUAAUAAUGGGCAAGGAAAAGCAAGCAGCCACAACAACCAACCGAGGGCAAUUCAUAACAGAAACCAAGAUUGUAUAAUGUGAGGUUUACACCCGGAGGAAGAACACAAGGAGAAAAAAUAUGUAACCCAUGGACAGCCUAACAUUCCUGUAUGCACUGCACACUCAGAGACAAUGAUUCAGUUAGAAGCAGUUCCUGAAGAAUUAUGAGAGUGCUAAAGUUUCAGAGGAUAUUUGUCUGUUCGGCUAAUCACCUUAUGACCUCGACAAUCAUGUUGAAUGUGGAGAAAUUGAGAGGGUUGGCAGAAAGAGAUCUCCUCUUGGUGAUGCUCAUCAACAUUAUUGCUGCAGCAUUACAGGCCAGUGGCUAAAUCCUUGUGUUCUGCGCUGCCUCGUGCAUCAUCAUCAUACAUUGAGAGAAACGAUGUUGAGGCCGGAAUGCACCUGAAAAUGCACAGAGAGGGAGGGGCAGCCCAGUGCAUGUAGCUCCCGCUUGCGCAGGGUCCGGGGAAGGGUCCGACCACUUUGGGUCUAUAGUACGCAGCCUUUCCCUACAUUUCUGUAAGAGGCUGUUUCCAGGACUUGAAAAUGCACAGAGACUUUGUUAAUUGUUUCUGCUGUUGUUUGCCUGCCAACAAGAACUUAAGAGGGCACAGAAAUU